Fukomys damarensis (Damara mole-rat) is the source of this 424-nucleotide long non-coding RNA. RefSeq lists it as uncharacterized. The transcript is spliced from 5 exons. The record is from RefSeq and is a predicted model, not a curated record. NCBI's taxonomy places the organism in Eukaryota, Metazoa, Chordata, Mammalia, Rodentia, Bathyergidae.
CCACCCCGGCGAGACUGUGGGGAGGUGGGUCCCAGGCGAGGCCGAAGAGGGAGAAGUGGGGAGCUGGUUAAAGGAGCCUAUCAAAACGGCGCAAGCGUGCUGAGAGCCUUUGGCGGGGCCCGGAAGUAACGGAGAGAGAGGGGGUGAGCCUCCUGAGAGUCUGGUCCCAACAUAGAGCAGCUUUGAUAACCGACCGAGCGCACCAGAUGUAGAUGGGGUCCGAGUCAGAUCUGAGCUUGGUGGUGCAUGUCUGUAAUCCCAGAACUGAGGAGGUUGAGGCAGGAGAAUGAAUUUUUGAGGCCAGUCUAUACUACAUACUGAGACACUGUUUCAACCUUCCCCAAAUCAAAGUACUGGAGACCAAUCCUGGGGUCUUGUGCACACUAGAAUACAGGCACUGGAAAAUAACAACUUGAGGAAGAAA